RNAcentral lists this ribosomal RNA (1263 nucleotides) under Triticum aestivum (bread wheat). RNAcentral describes it as "partial small subunit ribosomal RNA". Lineage: Eukaryota; Viridiplantae; Streptophyta; Magnoliopsida; Poales; Poaceae. The record is from RNAcentral.
AUGAAAGGUGAAGUCGUUGAACACUCGACACCACCUGAGAUGACGGGUGAACAAAUUCGUGAUCAACUAAAUGCUCUCCAGCCUGAUCCCAAUUGUCUAGGGUAUUUCUUGGGAUAUAACGAAGAACACGCGUGGACUCAUAAGCCAUGCUUAUGGGAUCUCCCCUACUUCCACCAGCUUGAGCUUCCACAUAAUAUUGAUGUAAUGCACACUGAAAAGAAUAUCGCCGAGGCCAUUUUUGGCACAUUGUUCAACAUUGCUGAGAAGACGAAGGAUAAUACUAAGGCUAGACUUGAUGUAAUGAAGCUAUGUGAUAGACCCGAACAAAACUUGCGACAACCCGAGGGCAAGAAAAACUGGAGGACACCAAAGGCGAGGUUUGUUCUUACUAGGGAACAAAAGAAGGAGAUACUCAUGUGGUUCAAAACUUUGUUGUUCCCUGAUGGGUAUGCAGCGAACCUUAUGAGGGCAGUGAAUCUUGAUAAAUUGAAGCUCAACGGGAUGAAGAGUCAUGAUUGGCACAUAUGGCUUGAGCGGUUAAUGCCGGUGAUGAUUCGAGGCUAUAUCCCUGAGGAUGAUUGGGAAAUAUUGGCAGAGCUUAGCUAUUUCUUCCAUGUUCUUUGUGCUAAAGAAGUAUCUCCUACUGUGAUAGAUGAGAUGGAAGAACGGGCCCCCGAGUUGCUCUGCAAGCUAGAGAAGAUCUUUCCACCAGGAUUCUUUAAUCCCAUGGAACAUAUGAUUUUACACCUCCCUUCCGAGGCAAGAAUGGGUGGCCCUGUGCAGAAUAGUUGGUGCUAUGGAGUUGAGAGAAUGCAGAAGACUCUUCAAGCUAAAUGUAGAAAUAAAUGUAGAAUUGAAGCCUCCAUAGCCGAGGCAUUCUUGGCGGAGGAGAUUACAAACUUCACGACAUCACGCUAUGCGGCCAAUAUUCCAAGCUUGCAUAAUGCAAAGUCUCGAUACAAUACUGGCGACCCUAAACAUGAAUCCAAGCUCAGCCUCUUCAAAGGGCAACUCGGACCUGUGGGUGCUUCUGGUUCAAAGAAUUUGGAUCCGAAAGAGUGGAAAUCUCUUACGUUGUAUAUCCUCACCAACCUUCAAGAAGUGCGGUCGUACAUUGAUGAAUUCAUUGCCCAAUUCUCGAAUGGAGGGGUCGAACGUGAUUCACUCGAAGAGUAUGAGCUUCUUGCUGGUGAAGGAGAUGACAAUUAUGGUUCAUUUCUUGGUUCAGAGAAAAGGAUACGUCAAUAUUGGACAAAGAGUUGA